Non-coding RNA from Fukomys damarensis (Damara mole-rat), 46 nucleotides. The record is from Rfam. Lineage: Eukaryota; Metazoa; Chordata; Mammalia; Rodentia; Bathyergidae.
CCCCAGGCCUUUGUUGAGGCCACACACAGACACAUUCCUAAGUCAU